This 1315-nucleotide ribosomal RNA is filed under the name Parantica melaneus. RNAcentral's name for it is "16S ribosomal RNA". The record is from RNAcentral. Lineage: Eukaryota; Metazoa; Arthropoda; Insecta; Lepidoptera; Nymphalidae.
GGGGAAAAAUUAAUAAUUUAUAAAUAAUAAAAAAAUUUUUAAUACUAGAAUGGGGGUUAUAGUAUUAUUAAUAGAAAAAAUUAUAAAUUUUAUAGUUAAUUAGUAUCGUAAGAGAAUUUUGAAAUAAGUGAAAAUAAAAUUUUAAUAAAGUAAAUUUAAUUUAUUGUAUCUUGUGUAUCAGAGUUUAUUAAAUUAAAUUUAUUUUUAAAAAUAAAUCUCGAAUUUAGAAGAGUUAAUUAAUUAUAAAAGUUAAUGUAAUAUAAUUAUUUUUAAUAAUUAAUUUGAAAUGAAAAGUUAAUCGUUUUUAAAUAUAUCUAGUUUCUUUAGAAAUAAAUUUAAUUUAAAAUUUAAUUUUAUAAAGAAUUUUUUUUUAAUUAUAAAUAAAUUAAAUUUAAUAUUUUAGGGGAUAAGCUUUAAAUUAAAUAUUUAUAUAUAUAUAUAAAUUAUUAAAAUUUUUAAAAUUUAAAUUGUUUAAAAAUUUUAAUUUUUUAUAAAAAAUUUUAAUAAAAAUAAAAUUUAUAAGAAAAAUUAAAAUUAUAUAAAGAAAAAAUUUUUAAUAAUAAAAAAUUAAAAAUAAUGAUAAAAUUAGUAUAAAAUAAAUUAAUAAAGUAAAAAAUUUAAAAAAUUAAAUUAAAGGAAUUCGGCAAAUAGGUAUAUUCACUUGUUUAUCAAAAACAUGUCUUUUUGUUAAUAAUUUAAAGUCUAAUCUGCCCACUGAUGAAAAUUGAAGGGCUGCAGUAUAUUGACUGUACAAAGGUAGCAUAAUCAAUAGUCUUUUAAUUGAAGACUUGUAUGAACGAUUUGAUGAAAUAUAAACUGUCUCUUAUUUAAAUAUAGAAUUUAAUUUUUUAGUUAAAAAGCUAAAAUAAUUUUAAAAGACGAGAAGACCCUAUAGAGUUUUAUAUUUAAAUUAUUUAAUAUUUUAUAUAUAAAUUAUAAUAAAAAUUAAUUUAAAUAUUUUAUUGGGGUGAUAGAAAAAUUUAAUAAACUUUUUUUAUAUAAGAUCAUAAAUAAGUGAGAAGAUGAUCCAUAAUUAAUGAUUAAAAGAAAAAAUUACCUUAGGGAUAACAGCGUAAUUUUUUUUUUUAGUUCAAAUAAGAAAAAGAGAUUGCGACCUCGAUGUUGGAUUAAGAUAAAAUUUAAAAGCAAAAGUUUAAAAUUUUGAUCUGUUCGAUCAUUAAAAUCUUACAUGAUCUGAGUUCAAACCGGUGUGAGCCAGGUUGGUUUCUAUCUUUAGAAAAUUGGAAUAUUUUAGUACGAAAGGAUUAAAUAUUUAAAAUAAUUUUAAAAAAAGAAUUUUAUUAAUAUUUAUAUA